Molecule: long non-coding RNA, 632 nt
Filed under: Macaca nemestrina (pig-tailed macaque)
Lineage: Eukaryota; Metazoa; Chordata; Mammalia; Primates; Cercopithecidae
Description: lncRNA (ENSMNEG00000046207.1)
Source: RNAcentral
AGGACACUUCCAUUUUUCACUUUCCUUUAUUAGGAUAUCAUCCUUUGGGUGCUUUCCAGUCUACCAGUGAAUGACAAACACUGCUAUAUCGAGAGUGUGAGAAAUUGAAUACCAUACAAGUUGUCAGACAUCUAAGACAGAAGAUCCCUGCAAGCAGUGAGGAGAGAUUGGAUACAUUCAUUGGAAUUACAGUCGUGACAAGCAAUAGGGCUGCCACUGAAGACAACCUUCGUCUGCUUGUUAGUGAAAAACAAAACAGGAGGGAAGAGAAUGGAGGUUGUGAUGUGAUAAGAAGGCAACGAAGAGCUGGAAGCAAACACCAACAACAGAUAAACGACAUGAUUCAAAAACAAAGGGUUUAAAGACACCAGAGAUAUGUCAGAAGUGUUCAUGGCUAAAGAGAGAUGUUGGAAAGCAAAUGAAUCCUCAUAGGUGUCUCACUUCAAAACUUUUAAAAAUACCUGCAAAAUCACCAAGAAGUUAGUUUACUUUGGACCUUUAUUUCUGUGUGCUUCCCAUACAACUCAGGAUACAUCACCAGCUUCUCUUCCAAAACAGUAAGACAUUGAAGGCUCAUAUUUUUCUUCUGUGCAUUAUGAUCCAAGUGUGUUCAUAAAAUAAGAUAUAGUAAG